Molecule: non-coding RNA, 31 nt
Filed under: Rattus norvegicus (Norway rat)
Lineage: Eukaryota; Metazoa; Chordata; Mammalia; Rodentia; Muridae
Source: RNAcentral
ACCAAUUGUUCAAAUGCUUGCACAUAUAGGU